This 295-nucleotide unclassified non-coding RNA is filed under the name uncultured fungus. RNAcentral describes it as "sequence contains ITS1". The stretch from base 1 to 106 matches the Rfam family "5.8S ribosomal RNA", at positions 49 to 154 of the family's 154-position model. The record is from RNAcentral. Lineage: Eukaryota; Fungi.
UGAAUUGCGAUAACUAAUGUGACUUGCAUAACUCUGUGAAUCAUCUAGUCUUUGAACGCACAUGGCGCUCAUGGCCUCGGUCGUGAGCAUACCUGUUUGAGAAUCGUAUGCAUGAUCCGCACUGUUGUGCGGGACUUGGGCGUCUACUUUGCGGUAGUUGUCUGGAAUGCAGUGGGUGUGCUGUGGGAUAGGGUGUAGUAGAAGCAGUCGCUUUCUCGCUCUUGCUCACAAACGCUCCCAUCAACAUCUAUUUACUUUUGAUCUCAAAUCAGGCAAGACUACCCGCUGAACUUAA